UGUUCCUAGGUAUUUAUUCCUGCAAUCACAUCCUGCUUUGCACUUCUGCUUCUCAUCUAGAAAUCAAAAGUAUUGGGUUUUUCGGCACUUCUGCAUAUAGAGGUCAUGACUAUAAGGUUUUUCGCACUUAUGCAUAUAGAUAUCAUGACUAUAGGGUUUUUUUACACUUCUGCAUAUCAUCUAUCACUAGGCAAACGGUUUAUAG
RNAcentral lists this long non-coding RNA (205 nucleotides) under Nicotiana benthamiana. Its description in RNAcentral is "long non-coding RNA (NBEN_LNC038780)". Lineage: Eukaryota; Viridiplantae; Streptophyta; Magnoliopsida; Solanales; Solanaceae. The record is from RNAcentral.